RNAcentral lists this ribosomal RNA (466 nucleotides) under uncultured bacterium. RNAcentral's name for it is "partial 16S ribosomal RNA". It matches the Rfam family "Bacterial small subunit ribosomal RNA", at positions 29 to 507 of the family's 1533-position model. The record is from RNAcentral.
AACGAACGCUGGCGGCGUGCUUAACACAUGCAAGUCGAACGAUGAAGCCCAGCUUGCUGGGUGGAUUAGUGGCGAACGGGUGAGUAACACGUGAGUAACCUGCCCUUAACUCUGGGAUAAGCCUGGGAAACUGGGUCUAAUACCGGAUAGGAGCGUCCACCGCAUGGUGGGUGUUGGAAAGAUUUAUCGGUUUUGGAUGGACUCGCGGCCUAUCAGCUUGUUGGUGAGGUAAUGGCUCACCAAGGCGACGACGGGUAGCCGGCCUGAGAGGGUGACCGGCCACACUGGGACUGAGACACGGCCCAGACUCCUACGGGAGGCAGCAGUGGGGAAUAUUGCACAAUGGGCGCAAGCCUGAUGCAGCGACGCCGCGUGAGGGAUGACGGCCUUCGGGUUGUAAACCUCUUUCAGUAGGGAAGAAGCGAAAGUGACGGUACCUGCAGAAGAAGCACCGGCUAACUACGUG